CCUACGGGGGGCAGCAGUGAGGAAUAUUGGUCAAUGGGCGCGAGCCUGAACCAGCCAAGUCGCGUGAAGGAUGACUGUCCUACGGGUUGUAAACUUCUUUUAUAAAGGAGUAAAGUGAGGCACGUGUGCCUGUUUGUAUGUACUUUAUGAAUAAGGAUCGGCUAACUCCGUGCCAGCAGCCGCGGUAAUACGGAGGAUCCGAGCGUUAUCCGGAUUUAUUGGGUUUAAAGGGUGCGCAGGCGGAUUUUUAAGUCAGCGGUAAAAUCGUGGGGCUCAACCCCAUCCAGCCGUUGAAACUGGGGAUCUUGAGUGUGCGAGAGGUAUGCGGAAUGCGUGGUGUAGCGGUGAAAUGCAUAGAUAUCACGCAGAACCCCGAUUGCGAAGGCAGCAUACCGGUGCACAACUGACGCUGAGGCACGAAAGCGUGGGUAUCGAACAGGAUUAGAUACCCGGGUAGUC
This 459-nucleotide ribosomal RNA is filed under the name uncultured bacterium. Its description in RNAcentral is "partial 16S ribosomal RNA". It matches the Rfam family "Bacterial small subunit ribosomal RNA", at positions 338 to 795 of the family's 1533-position model. The record is from RNAcentral.